This 580-nucleotide ribosomal RNA is filed under the name Vibrio vulnificus. Its description in RNAcentral is "bacterial SSU rRNA". It matches the Rfam family "Bacterial small subunit ribosomal RNA", at positions 85 to 661 of the family's 1533-position model. The record is from RNAcentral. Lineage: Bacteria; Pseudomonadati; Pseudomonadota; Gammaproteobacteria; Vibrionales; Vibrionaceae.
CGGGUGGCGAGCGGCGGACGGGUGAGUAAUGCCUGGGAAAUUGCCCUGAUGUGGGGGAUAACCAUUGGAAACGAUGGCUAAUACCGCAUGAUAGCUUCGGCUCAAAGAGGGGGACCUUCGGGCCUCUCGCGUCAGGAUAUGCCCAGGUGGGAUUAGCUAGUUGGUGAGGUAAGGGCUCACCAAGGCGACGAUCCCUAGCUGGUCUGAGAGGAUGAUCAGCCACACUGGAACUGAGACACGGUCCAGACUCCUACGGGAGGCAGCAGUGGGGAAUAUUGCACAAUGGGCGCAAGCCUGAUGCAGCCAUGCCGCGUGUGUGAAGAAGGCCUUCGGGUUGUAAAGCACUUUCAGUCGUGAGGAAGGUGGUAGUGUUAAUAGCACUAUCAUUUGACGUUAGCGACAGAAGAAGCACCGGCUAACUCCGUGCCAGCAGCCGCGGUAAUACGGAGGGUGCGAGCGUUAAUCGGAAUUACUGGGCGUAAAGCGCAUGCAGGUGGUUUGUUAAGUCAGAUGUGAAAGCCCGGGGCUCAACCUCGGAACUGCAUUUGAAACUGGCAGACUAGAGUACUGUAGAGGGGGG